RNAcentral lists this ribosomal RNA (200 nucleotides) under uncultured bacterium. RNAcentral describes it as "partial 16S ribosomal RNA". It matches the Rfam family "Bacterial small subunit ribosomal RNA", at positions 29 to 257 of the family's 1533-position model. The record is from RNAcentral.
AACGAACGCUGGCGGCAGGCUUAACACAUGCGAGUCGAACGGUCUCUUCGGAGGCAGUGGCAGACGGGUGAGUAACGCGUGGGAAUCUACCUGAUACUACGGAACAACAGAGGGAAACUUCUGCUAAUACCGUAUACGCCCUACGGGGAAAGAUUUAUCGGUAUCAGAUGAGCCCGCGUAAGAUUAGCUAGUUGGUGGGG